AGAGUUUGAUCAUGGCUCAGAUUGAACGCUGGCGGCAGGCCUAACACAUGCAAGUCGAGCGGUAACAGGCCCUUCGGGGCGCUGACGAGCGGCGGACGGGUGAGUACUGCAUAGGAAUCUACCCGGUAGUGGGGGAUAACCUGGGGAAACUCAGGCUAAUACCGCAUACGUCCUACGGGAGAAAGCAGGGGCCUUUUGGCCUUGCGCUAUCGGAUGAGCCUAUGCCGGAUUAGCUGGUUGGUGAGGUAAUGGCUCACCAAGGCGACGAUCCGUAGCUGGUCUGAGAGGAUGAUCAGCCACAUCGGGACUGAGACACGGCCCGAACUCCUACGGGAGGCAGCAGUGGGGAAUAUUGGACAAUGGGGGCAACCCUGAUCCAGCCAUGCCGCGUGUGUGAAGAAGGCCUUCGGGUUGUAAAGCACUUUCAGCGAGGAAGAACGCCUGGCGGUUAAUACCCGCCAGGAAAGACAUCACUCGCAGAAGAAGCACCGGCUAACUCCGUGCCAGCAGCCGCGGUAAUACGGAGGGUGCGAGCGUUAAUCGGAAUUACUGGGCGUAAAGCGCGCGUAGGCGGCGUGAUAAGCCGGUUGUGAAAGCCCUGGGCUCAACCUGGGAACUGCAUCCGGAACUGUCAGGCUAGAGUGCAGGAGAGGAAGGUAGAAUUCCCGGUGUAGCGGUGAAAUGCGUAGAGAUCGGG
This 697-nucleotide ribosomal RNA is filed under the name uncultured bacterium. Its description in RNAcentral is "bacterial SSU rRNA". It matches the Rfam family "Bacterial small subunit ribosomal RNA", at positions 8 to 701 of the family's 1533-position model. The record is from RNAcentral.